ACGGAAGGCAGCAGUGGGGAAUAUUGGACAAUGGGGGAAACCCUGAUCCAGCGACGCCGCGUGAGUGAAGAAGUAUUUCGGUAUGUAAAGCUCUAUCAGCAGGAAAGAAAAUGACGGUACCUGACUAAGAAGCCCCGGCUAACUACGUGCCAGCAGCCGCGGUAAUACGUAGGGGGCAAGCGUUAUCCGGAUUUACUGGGUGUAAAGGGAGCGUAGACGGUAUUGCAAGUCUGAAGUGAAAGCCCGGGGCUCAACCCCGGAACUGCUUUGGAAACUGUAGUACUAGAGUGCAGGAGAGGUAAGUGGAAUUCCUAGUGUAGCGGUGAAAUGCGUAGAUAUUAGGAGGAACACCAGUGGCGAAGGCGGCUUACUGGACUGUAACUGACGUUGAGGCUCGAAGGCGUGGGGAGCAAACAGGAUUAGAUACCCUGGUA
Molecule: ribosomal RNA, 434 nt
Filed under: uncultured Clostridium sp.
Lineage: Bacteria; Bacillati; Bacillota; Clostridia; Eubacteriales; Clostridiaceae
Description: partial 16S ribosomal RNA
Rfam family: Bacterial small subunit ribosomal RNA
Source: RNAcentral